AUUGAACGCUGGCGGCAGGCCUAACACAUGCAAGUCGAGCGGAUGAAGGGAGCUUGCUCCUGGAUUCGGCGGCGGACGGGUGAGUAAUGCCUAGGAAUCUGCCUGGUAGUGGGGGAUAACGUCCGGAAACGGGCGCUAAUACCGCAUACGUCCUGAGGGAGAAAGUGGGGGAUCUUCGGACCUCACCCUAUCAGAUGAGCCUAGGUCGGAUUAGCUAGUUGGUGGGGUAAAGGCCUACCAAGCCGACGAUCCGUAACUGGUCUGAGAGGAUGAUCAGUCACACUGGAACUGAGACACGGUCCAGACUCCUACGGGAGGCAGCAGUGGGGAAUAUUGGACAAUGGGCGAAAGCCUGAUCCAGCCAUGCCGCGUGUGUGAAGAAGGUCUUCGGAUUGUAAAGCACUUUAAGUUGGGAGGAAGGGCAGUAAGUUAAUACCUUGCUGUUUUGACGUUACCAACAGAAUAAGCACCGGCUAACUUCGUG
This 484-nucleotide ribosomal RNA is filed under the name uncultured bacterium. RNAcentral describes it as "partial 16S ribosomal RNA". It matches the Rfam family "Bacterial small subunit ribosomal RNA", at positions 30 to 507 of the family's 1533-position model. The record is from RNAcentral.